This 439-nucleotide ribosomal RNA is filed under the name uncultured bacterium. RNAcentral describes it as "bacterial SSU rRNA". It matches the Rfam family "Bacterial small subunit ribosomal RNA", at positions 958 to 1398 of the family's 1533-position model. The record is from RNAcentral.
AACGCGAAGAACCUUACCUGGGCUUGACAUGUGCCUGACCGGCGUGGAAACACGCCUUCCCUUCGGGGCAGGUUCACAGGUGGUGCAUGGCUGUCGUCAGCUCGUGUCGUGAGAUGUUGGGUUAAGUCCCGCAACGAGCGCAACCCCCGUCGCAUGUUGCCAGCAUUUAGUUGGGGACUCAUGCGAGACUGCCGGUGACAAACCGGAGGAAGGUGGGGAUGACGUCAAGUCCUCAUGCCCCUUAUGUCCAGGGCUACACACGUGCUACAAUGGCCGGUACAACGGGUUCCGACACGGCGACGUGAAGGCAAUCCCUUAAAGCCGGUCUCAGUUCGGAUUGCAGGCUGCAACUCGCCUGCAUGAAGUCGGAGUUGCUAGUAACCGCUGGUCAGCACACAGCGGUGAAUACGUUCCCGGGCCUUGUACACACCGAGACGAC